UACGUAGGGUGCAAGCGUUGUCCGGAAUUAUUGGGCGUAAAGAGCUCGUAGGCGGUUUGUCGCGUCGAAUGUGAAAACCCGGGGCUCAACCUCGGGCCUGCAGUCGAUACGGGCAAACUAGAGUACUGCAGGGGAGACUGGAAUUCCUGGUGUAGCGGUGAAAUGCGCAGAUAUCAGGAGGAACACCGGUGGCGAAGGCGGGUCUCU
RNAcentral lists this ribosomal RNA (207 nucleotides) under uncultured bacterium. RNAcentral describes it as "partial 16S ribosomal RNA". It matches the Rfam family "Bacterial small subunit ribosomal RNA", at positions 524 to 730 of the family's 1533-position model. The record is from RNAcentral.